CCAGCAUUUCCAGGGAGGCAACAGUGUCCCACAGAAAAACCUGGGUAAGACCUACGGGAGGUCUGA
This 66-nucleotide small RNA is filed under the name Marmota monax (woodchuck). It matches the Rfam family "MAT2A 3'UTR stem loop E". Lineage: Eukaryota; Metazoa; Chordata; Mammalia; Rodentia; Sciuridae. The record is from RNAcentral.